This is a long non-coding RNA of Eublepharis macularius, 1777 nucleotides long. RefSeq lists it as uncharacterized. NCBI's taxonomy places the organism in Eukaryota, Metazoa, Chordata, Lepidosauria, Squamata, Eublepharidae. The record is from RefSeq and is a predicted model, not a curated record. The transcript is spliced from 3 exons.
UCCUUGGAGUUCCGGUGAGGAGGGCAAGGAAGGCGGAUGAUCCGGCGAGAGCUGAGAGACAGGACAGAUAUUGCCGGCAAUAGGAGAGGUUCUACCUGACUAAUCUGCCUGGAUCAAAGGAUAGAUUGUGCUGUGUCUUGCCGCGAGAGGCUUCGGAUCCUCAUCUGUGGGCACAAUAUGGUCUUGGCACAUCCUCAUUGAUUUAGGCUGGAUUUGGUGCAUAAAGCCAGUGACUUUCUGGAAAAAUACAGAAAUUUGGAUGAUAUUCCGACAAACUUCAGCAGAGGCAUCAACAGGGUAACAACUGGAGCAGAGCAAGGAGGAGGAAGAAAUGGGGGCUACCAGUCUUAUUUAACUCCACUUUUUCUACCUUCCCAUAUAUAUUCUUUGAUUUUUAUUUCAUUUUAUGAACCUUAAGAAUUUGUUGGCAAUAUGGAUUACAAAAGUUUAACUUGGAACAUUAAUGGGGCAAACUCAGCCCAAAAAAGGAAGAAAAUAUUUCACUAUACCCAAAGAUGUACAAGACCAGACAUUGACAAGAAAUUAUAGGCCAAUAUCAUUAUUAAAUAAUGACUAUAAGUUGUUUGCAAUGAUAUUGGCUGGAAGACAUAAAAGUAUUCUCCAGGACAUUAUUAAUGAAGACCAACGUGGAUUUCUACCUAAGAGGCAGCUGAAGGACAAUGUAAGAAUAGUAUUGGAUAUUCUGGAGUACUUGGAAAAACAUAAUUUAAAAAAGCUGCUGUAGAUGCCGAGAAGGCCUUUGACAAUUUAACCUGGAAAGUUUUUUUCUAGAUGCCGAGAAGGCCUUUGACAAUUUAAACUGGAAAUUUUUGUUUAAGGUCUUGGAAGAUAUGGACUUUGGAGAUAAUUUUAUAAAAUGGCCAAGUCGAUUUAUACAUCCCAGUCAGCAUGAAUAGUCAUUAAUGGAGAAUUAACUAAACCAUGUGGAAUACAAAGAGAUAAAAUACUAGAUUGCCCACUGUCACCCUUGUUAUGCAUAUUGGUGCUUGAAAUCCUGAACAGGGACAUAAGACAAGACGAGAGAACUGGAGGUUUAAAGGUAAAACAGGAGACUAACAAAUUAAGAGCCUUUGCAGAUCUGGUGCUGGUUUUCGAGGACCCCUUAAAGGGAGUUGAAACUUUAAUGUCAAAACUGAAAGAAUUUGGUGUCAUGGCUGGUUUUAAGGUUAAUAAGCAGAAGACCAAAGUGGUAACUAAAAAUAUAAAAAUGCAGAAUCAAAUUAAAUUGGAGAGCAAAACAGGGUUUAAAAUUGAGAAAAGGUAAAAUACUUGAGUAUCACGUCAAACAUUAACUGUAUGUUAUUCCAUAAUAAUUAUAUUAAGACCAGGAAUGAAAUUAAAAGGGAUAUGCUAAGAUGGGAUCAAAUUCAACUAUUGUGUUGGGAAGAAUAGCUAUAAUUAAAAUGAAUGUUUUACUUAGAAUGCUAUUCCUAUUUUAAACAAUUUCAGUAUUGAGGCACCAUUUAAGAAAUGGCAGAAGGAUAUAUUGAGAUUUAUAUGGGAAGGCAAAAAAACCAAGGGUUAAAUUUAAGGUUCUAUAGGAUUCAAAGGAAAGAGGAGGUUUGGGUCUACCAGAUUUGAGAUUAUAUUAUGCGGCCAACUAUUUGGUUUGGAUGAAGAAAUGUAUUUUGUUAAAAAAAAUAAGAAGACUAUUGGAACUCGAAGGGCAUGACUUAUGAUUUGGGUGGCAUAGAUACUUAUGGUACGACAAGGUCAAGGUCAAUGCAGAGUUUAAUAAUCAUUAUGUAAGGCAUGC